RNAcentral lists this ribosomal RNA (496 nucleotides) under uncultured bacterium. RNAcentral's name for it is "partial 16S ribosomal RNA". It matches the Rfam family "Bacterial small subunit ribosomal RNA", at positions 29 to 507 of the family's 1533-position model. The record is from RNAcentral.
AUGAACGCUGGCGGCGUGCCUAAUACAUGCAAGUCGAGCGAACAGAUGAGGAGCUUGCUCCUCUGACGUUAGCGGCGGACGGGUGAGUAACACGUGGAUAACCUACCUAUAAGACUGGGAUAACUUCGGGAAACCGGAGCUAAUACCGGAUAAUAUAUUGAACCGCAUGGUUCAAUAGUGAAAGACGGUUUUGCUGUCACUUAUAGAUGGAUCCGCGCCGCAUUAGCUAGUUGGUAAGGUAACGGCUUACCAAGGCAACGAUGCGCAGCCGACCUGAGAGGGUGAUCGGCCACACUGGAACUGAGACACGGUCCAGACUCCUACGGGAGGCAGCAGUAGGGAAUCUUCCGCAAUGGGCGAAAGCCUGACGGAGCAACGCCGCGUGAGUGAUGAAGGUCUUCGGAUCGUAAAACUCUGUUAUUAGGGAAGAACAAAUGUGUAAGUAACUAUGCACGUCUUGACGGUACCUAAUCAGAAAGCCACGGCUAACUACGUG